CGAAGGAAUUUCUUUUGAAAUUGGGGGACGACCUCAAAAGGUGGAGGGUAUUUGGUAACUUAGGAGGAAUUUAUGCAAAGGAAGAGAGGAUGGAGGACUGGGAGUGCUAGAUAUUAAAUUGAUGAAUGAAGCUCUUCUCGUUAAGUGGUGGUGGAGAUUCUUUUUAGAAAGAGGCUUGUAAUGGAAUAAGUUGGUUCAAGCGUUGUAUUACACUAAAAAGAGGCCACUUAAUAAAGGAAAGAUAUUGUCACGCCCCGGGACCGGCGGAAGCCCUCCCGGUAGCGUGCCCAGACCCGCCAUAUGUCUACACAUAUAAGACGUCUAGAAGAAAAGCGGAAGUAAAAGCAAGAGAUGGAACAAAUAAAAGAAGUGAAAUAACUAGCAACUAAUGAUAUCAGAGCGAGCAGUACUAACAUCUACAUCAAGGUAGAGAAGUAAAGCUAGACAAUAAAAGAAAUCAUAAGCAGUACAAUAUCUGUCACUAGCACAAAAAUGGUGGUCUCUAGUACACUGGUAAAACUCUCAACCUCUCCAAAAUAAAAUACAACGAGAGGUAGACCACCUAGCAAAUCGUCCUCGAAGGAAGCUAACUCGAAGCAACUCCCUUCCCGCGGU
RNAcentral lists this long non-coding RNA (615 nucleotides) under Ananas comosus (pineapple). RNAcentral's name for it is "long non-coding RNA (ACOM_LNC021635)". Lineage: Eukaryota; Viridiplantae; Streptophyta; Magnoliopsida; Poales; Bromeliaceae. The record is from RNAcentral.